UAGUCUAUGGCAAGUGGGACCCCCUCUCCUUGAUUAAAGUGGUUAGGUGUUUUAUUAACACAAAUGUGGUAAUGACAUGUGGGCCACGCAUGGUGUUGACUAGUAAAAUUGACUGGGUCAACCCACCCCGUGACCCCACUUGUAAUACACUCUCGCUAGAGUGGCGAAAGGUGACAGAAGUAUUCACUGUUUUUAUUUCAAAUUAGUAAAAUCCGUAA
Molecule: long non-coding RNA, 218 nt
Filed under: Hordeum vulgare
Lineage: Eukaryota; Viridiplantae; Streptophyta; Magnoliopsida; Poales; Poaceae
Description: long non-coding RNA (HVUL_LNC012614)
Source: RNAcentral